Molecule: long non-coding RNA, 1181 nt
Organism: Vigna radiata var. radiata (mung bean)
Lineage: Eukaryota; Viridiplantae; Streptophyta; Magnoliopsida; Fabales; Fabaceae
Exons: 3
Source: RefSeq, a predicted model, not a curated record
UUAAAUUAUCACCCUAAUUAUAGUUCUCCAAUGAUAUGAAAUGUGUACUACAUUUUAGUUCGACUUGUAUCUAACAAUCAUCCCUGUUGCCCCCAAUUUUUUAGUUAAUUCAUACAACUGCUUAUUGCUCUAUAAUUUCUAUUAAUUAUUUAUAUAUGUUAUUUUGUGUCAUCCAGGGAACAAGUGAUCUAUAUGUUGUCAUACAACUGGAUUCUCAUACGGCUAAAAGCGAUAUCAAAUGGGGGACAAAAAAAAGGCAUCAUUUAAUAUCAAGCAGCCUCCAAACCAAUAUUUACAGCACUACACUCGCGUGUGAAAUUUGGGGCAAUCUUUUUAAAGACACAGUUCAUAAUGAAUUGAAUGUAGGUCCAUAUCUUGUUUUCUUGCAAUGUUGAAUCUAAUUUAAGUGUUACAUGCUUUUGAAUUAUUGUUUAUGCUCACCUGCUCCUCUUUAUCCAUUUGCAGUUGGAGGUGGCUUUAAUUUGAAGAAAUGGUAANUAUUGGGCGCUGUAAAUAAAUAUUGGGAGGCAUCUAGAUUAAUUCAUGGCUNAGGUAUAAAUUUUAAAAUUAUGCAUCAUAUACUUUGACUUGAUUUUUGCUAUUAAUGGAAUCAAAAGGAGUUUCAAGUUCGUUUACCUUUCACUCAAUUCAGUACUUUCUUUGCUUCCGAAUGCAUACUUGUUAGUUGUCGCAUUCAUGUUGAUGACCAGUUUGUUUUCCCUUAAUUCUAUUACAACAUUUUUGGCAAGAGACUAUUAUGAUAUUCUUGGUGUGAGUAAGAAAGCACGUUCUUCUGAAAUAAAGAAAGCUUACUAUGGGGUAAGUUUUCCCUUGUCAUUGCCAUUGUCAGUGAACUAUUAAUGGUUUCUAAAUUUUUUCUGAGAUUUGUGGUUCAAUUUGAUUGUUUUUUUUAUCCCCUGAUUCUAAGCCAUCAUAUGUUAGAGAACUUCUAAUAAUUUUUUAAAUUUUCUUUAAAUAUUUUAUUUGUCCAUCUAUAUUGAAAUGUGUUUUAACUCAAUCUUUUUUUAAUUUUUUAUUCAGGCAUUGCAUGAGGUUAUAGGCGCAAGUGUCUACUUGGUCAGGAACUGUUACAAAAUGUAGAAGUAAUUCUUUGUAUUUUUUCUUGUAGUGAAGGAAUUGUGUUUUUUCUUGUAGUGAAGGAUAAUUUAUUUAUUAAUUUU